GACGUAGGGCGCGAGCGUUGUCCAGAUUUAUUGGGCGUAAAGAGCUCGUAGGCGGCUCAUCGCGUCUGCCGUGAAAACCCGCAGCUCAACUGCGGGCUUGCGGUUGAUACGGGUGGGCUGGAGUUCGGUAGGGGAGACUGGAAUUCCUGGUGUAGCGGUGAAAUGCGCAGAUAUCAGGAGGAACACCGGUGGCGAAGGCGGAUCUCUGGGCCUUACCUGACGCUCAGGUGCGAAAGCUAGGGGAGCGAACAGG
Molecule: ribosomal RNA, 253 nt
Filed under: uncultured bacterium
Lineage: Bacteria
Description: partial 16S ribosomal RNA
Rfam family: Bacterial small subunit ribosomal RNA
Source: RNAcentral